Molecule: unclassified non-coding RNA, 196 nt
Filed under: Podofomes mollis
Lineage: Eukaryota; Fungi; Basidiomycota; Agaricomycetes; Polyporales; Polyporaceae
Description: Cerioporus mollis partial ITS1
Source: RNAcentral
ACUGAGUCUUGAAAUGGGGUUGUAGCUGGCCUUAAAGGCAUGUGCUCGCCCUGUUCAAAUCCACUCUACACCUGUGCACUUACUGUGGGCUUUGGUUAGAAAGCCAGGUUUAUAACCUGACCUUUGAGCCGGGCUCAUGUUUACUUUACAAACAACUUAGUAUCAGAAUGUGUAUUGCAAUUUAAUGCAUUUUAUA